AUCGAUAUCAGGUGCGAGUCGAGAGCCGACGUGCAACGCAGAGCGCUCGCGUGUGCUUUCGACCAACCAUCGUAAGGCCAAGCAGGGGAUCGCGUGCGUUCUUCGACUGCAGCUCCAUGCGGUAUGUCCCCGGGCAAAAAACGCAAGUCGCAGGGCGCUGAGGGCAGCGGAAAAUCAGCGAAACACCUGCGACAGUCCAGCGUGAGCUGCACCGACGAGGUACGGCCACUGGUGCUCGCGUUCAGCAACGCACGCUCUCGCGCUGAGCACAAGGAUCCCAACGACGUCCGCUGCGACGUAUCCAAGAGUCAACUACGAGACCCUGAGCUGUACCGCUUCCGCUCGCCUCCGGUUGGGCGUCGGAGAAGCCAGCAGAACGAAAUUUUUCUCAGUGGCUCUUGUCGCUUCGUGGGCGUGCUCGAACGAGCAAGACGGGUACUUUUUGAUAAACAGUAUAAUACCUUCACGCUCCACGCGACGGGAAGGGCGAUGGAACGAGCUAUUCGGGCUUGCUUGGUGCUCGUAGAACGCUACGGCACUUGGCUCACUUAUAGCGUCCAGACGAGCUCGGUCCCUCUCCUGGACGAGUACGAGCCCCGGCGUCAGAACUUGCCAUGGAUUCAGCAGACGCGCCUUCAGAGCGCCAUCCAUAUUGAGAUCAUAAAAACUAAAAGACUGCCUGUUGUCUAAAGAUGACAUUUGGUAGUGCGUAUUUCGCCUUAUCGAGGCGAUGCAGUCGACUGCAAUCGCUUUGGACGCUAGUGCGUUGCCAACAGAGCCAACUGCGUACGAUUGAGCUGCGUAUAUCUAGGAAAGACUCGAUUUUGCCGCUUUCCUCUCCUAUUCCCGUGUCAGAUAAAAACGGAACAGUGAACCGGUCGCCCGGUGCCUACGUUUCGACUAGUUUCCCGACCGCGUUUUGAUUUAGAGCACCGGCUACCGACGCGUAGCGAUAAGGCUGUUCAGUUCGUACGUAGGUUCAAAUUUCUCGGUCGCCUUUUCGGAAUAGUCUCUUCCACGCGUUGCUCUUGGAAUCCGUCACAUGACUGGGAUCAAGAUCAUAUGCGCGACGCUCUCUGUCUAGAUUUCAUGAACGAAGCGAUAUCAGUAUCGAAUGCUUAUGUUCAGAAUUCCGCGUCAUCCUUCCUUCAAAUGCAGCAUGCUCAAGUCGCGCAUGCUUCAGGUUUUUGAUCUCGCUGUUUCAAGGCAACUCGCGGCCAAAGGAAUUCGCAUACUCAGAUUGAAGAGGAAAACUUCGAAGACCUGCGUUGACGACUUGUUCACACGCUCAUACCGCCGGUUCGCAGAACUGCUCACCAAAAGUAAUCGAGUCCUUAGGAAAGGCGAAUCGCCGUCUGUUCAUGGCCUUCGACAAGACGGCAUUCGGCAAUGGCUUGAUAUCUCUCAUGCGAUAUGCGCCCGGAAACCUCUGUCUGUUCUGCUCGCUCGGGAAAGGGCGCUGGAGUCGGAUAUGUGUCAUUGCAGCCAUCGCUUCCAUUGGAGCGUCCGUCACCGCUUUGCGCGAAUGAAGUGUAGAAGGAUCGAAAUUUCUCGAGUUAUUCCUUAGCGCGAAUGUUUCGUCCGGUAAUUUUAUCACCAUGGGUUACAUCACAUACGAGAAACCCUCAUUCGAAUAGAACUGCUUCCACUUGCGCAUGCAGUGUGCAGCGUACUUGCCGAGGGGAUCGCCCAGAAGAAGCCCGUAAUUGUAGGUUAUGGCAUCGAGCACGGAAACGGAGGACGACAUCGAAAGCAGCUUUCUGCAUGCGUCGGAGACAUGCAACGAGCACUGAAACAUGCGUCCAUGCACCAAAGAACAUCGCACGGAAGCGGAGGUGUAAUGGGUAUUCGGUGACACCUAACCAUAUUCAAGCUUCACCGCUGGAAAUUGCGCAACCAAGCUGGAUACAAAGAAGACGAACAUUGUAAGCAGCGCGUAGAUCCCAACUUCCAUCUUCGCAUCAAAGGCGUCGACGACGGCCAGAAGCGGUGAAACCUGCGCCCGAACGCUUCAUAUUUCGACUAUUGAAAACAGCGCUCAAGGGGAAACGAUAGACUGCCGAGCUUCCAACCGGAGAUAGGAGAGAAGGAAACCAUGCAGUUAGAGAAAAAUCUCGCAAAGGGCUGUAUUGAUAUACGUAGCAAAAGACCCAGGGUGAAGCGUUUACGCCCAAAAUCGCUGGGUGCGAUCCGCUCCGUUUCAGUUUGCCACGAAUGUCACUAUACGCAAACGCAUACCCCUGGAUCGAGACUCCAUGUGGGCGUGACUUCUCGUUACCGUGCUCUCGGCUCCGACGACGCCCUAAACAGCAGGACAGAUAUCCGGGCACCGCAUCCGAUAUCGCCGAGCACCACGGUGGCAGGUUGCGCCCUGAAAGAGCGCAAGCGCACCGGUCCAUCACACUCCACAGGACAAUCAUUCGCACAUCACCUUUCGAGAAAGCGCCUUAUUUACAAGCCAUUUCUACAAAUGCAGGAGACCUUGGGUCUUCAAACGCGCGUGCUUACCUUGUUUCCGCUGCGCCUCUCACGACGUCAUGCUCUGCAUGGCGCAUGAAGGCCACGCUCACACCAUUCCAUACAUGGGGAGCCCCCUAACGCGCUAUUCGCAGACAUGGUUCAUAGUGCCGCGCCCGCGAUCAUCGCUUGAGAACCGGUUUUCUUCGAUGCGGGACUUGUGUCGGAACCCGUGCGGCCGUCAUGCAUUGCUUUGCAUCCAUUCGCAUGACCACAACGGCAUGUUUUCAUGGACCAUAAAGACAAGCC
RNAcentral lists this unclassified non-coding RNA (2766 nucleotides) under Cyanidioschyzon merolae strain 10D. RNAcentral describes it as "hypothetical transcript". Lineage: Eukaryota; Rhodophyta; Bangiophyceae; Cyanidiales; Cyanidiaceae. The record is from RNAcentral.